AUUGAACGCUGGCGGCAGGCCUAACACAUGCAAGUCGAGCGAGCGGCGGACGGGUGAGUAAUGUCUGGGGACCUGCCUGAUAGAGGGGGAUAACUACUGGAAACGGUGGCUAAUACCGCAUACUAUCGGCUGAACCCAGAUGGGAUUAGCUAGUAGGGUGGGUAAAGGCUCACCUAGGCGACGAUCUCUAGCUGGUCUGAGAGGAUGAUCCGCCACACUGGGACUGAGACACGGCCCAGACGCCUACGGGAGGCAGCAGUGGGGAAUAUUGCACAAUGGGCGCAAGCCUGAUGCAGCCAUGCCGCGUGUAUGAAGAAGGCCUUAGGGUUGUAAAGUACUUUCAGCGGGGAGGCGUUACCCGCAGAAGAAGCACCGGCUAACUCCGUGCCAGCAGCCGCGGUAAUUC
RNAcentral lists this ribosomal RNA (406 nucleotides) under uncultured bacterium. RNAcentral's name for it is "partial 16S ribosomal RNA". It matches the Rfam family "Bacterial small subunit ribosomal RNA", at positions 30 to 526 of the family's 1533-position model. The record is from RNAcentral.